CACAGUUCAGGAUGUAGCCUGGGAUGUCCUGCCAGGUCGGGAUGGGAAACGCUGACUACGUGGCUGCCUUCCUGCACCUGCUGCUCCCACUGGCCUUUGAGGUGACUGCACAGAGGGCUCCCCCAGGGCAGCCGGGUGGGAGGGGGACUUCGUGCCUGGAGUGCGCCAGUGAAGGCAGGAGGAGGGUUAUGAGCUGCCCCGCUCCUGUGUGGCUGGGGAGGGUAUUCAGGAGGGGAUGGGAUGGGCCUGGCUCCAGCCCCUCUCUGUUGACCCUCCCCACCCCGGCCUGACCUGUAGUUUGACCCUGAGCUGGUGCUGGUCUCGGCAGGAUUUGACUCAGCCAUCGGGGACCCUGAGGUGAGGGCCUUGCCUGGCCAGGGAGGGCUUCUGGGGUCCUGGGGCCCAGGUCCCCCAUCACACAUGGCUCUGGUUCCAGGGGCAAAUGCAGGCCACGCCAGAGUGCUUCGCCCACCUCACACAGCUGCUGCAGGUGCUGGCCGGCGGCCGGGUCUGCGCCGUGCUGGAGGGCGGCUACCACCUGGAGUCACUGGCGGAGUCAGUGUGCAUGACAGUACAGACGCUGUUGGGUGACCCGGCUCCACCCCUGUCAGGGUCAAUGGUGCCAUGUCAGAGGUGCGAGGGGAGGUAGGGCAGGCGGGGCUGGGGUGUGAGGCCAGGUGUCACGACUGUUGUGUCUCCCCCACAGUGCCCUGGAGUCCAUCCAGAGUGCCCGUGCUGCCCAGGCCCCGCACUGGAAGAGCCUCCAGCUGCAAGGUCAGUGUGGCCGGGUGCUAGGCUGCAGGAUCCCACCUCGGGCUCCCGUGCAGUGGCUAUGACUCCGAACUGUCCCUAGAUGUGACCCCUGUGCUGAUGAGCCCCAGCAUUCUCUCCCCAGAGGAGAGGCCUCCACCUCUGCUGCCUGGGGGUCCAGUGUGUAAGGGAGCUGCAUCUGCACCGAGCUCCCUCCUGGACCAGCCGUGCCUCUGCCCUGCACCCUCUGUCCGCACCGCUGUUGCCCUGACAGCACCAGAUAUCACAUUGGUCCUGCCCCCUGACGUCAUCCAACAGGAAGGGUCAGCCCUAAGGGAGGA
This 1091-nucleotide small RNA is filed under the name Pongo abelii (Sumatran orangutan). Its description in RNAcentral is "retained intron". The record is from RNAcentral. Lineage: Eukaryota; Metazoa; Chordata; Mammalia; Primates; Hominidae.